RNAcentral lists this ribosomal RNA (660 nucleotides) under uncultured bacterium. RNAcentral's name for it is "bacterial SSU rRNA". It matches the Rfam family "Bacterial small subunit ribosomal RNA", at positions 8 to 694 of the family's 1533-position model. The record is from RNAcentral.
AGAGUUUGAUCCUGGCUCAGGACGAACGCUGGCGGUGUGCUUCACACAUGCAAGUCGAACGGAGUAGCAAUACUCAGUGGCGGACGGGUGAGUAACACGUGGGAAUCUACCAUUAGGUGGGGAAUAACAGGCCGAAAGGACUGCUAAUGCCGCAUAUGUAGGCAUCUCGACAGAGAUGUUUAUGAAAGGAGUAAUCCGCCUUUUGAUGAGCCCGCGUCCGAUUAGCUAGUUGGUAGGGUAAAAGCCUACCAAGGCGACGAUCGGUAGGUGGUCUGAGAGGAUGAUCACCCACAAUGGGACUGAGACACGGCCCAUACUCCUACGGGAGGCAGCAGUGGGGAAUUUUACGCAAUGGGGGAAACCCUGACGUAGCGACACCGCGUGAGCGAAGAAGCCCUUUGGGGUGUAAAGCUCUGUCAACAGGAACGAAACAAAUGACGGUACCUGUGGAGGAAGCAUCGGCUAACUACGUGCCAGCAGCCGCGGUAAGACGUAGGAUGCAAGCGUUGUCCGGAUUUAUUGGGCGUAAAGAGUUCGUAGGCGGUUUGUUAAGUCUGAUGUUAAAGACCGGGGCUCAACCUCGGAAAUGCACUGGAUACUGGCAGACUGGAGUGCAGUAGAGGCUAGUGGAAUUCCCAGUGUAGCGGUGAAAUGCGUAGA